CGCCCUAGUUCUGACCGUAAACUAUGCCAUCUAGCGAUCCGAUGGGGUAUUGUUGCCUUGUCGAGGAGCUUCCCGGAAACGAAAGUCUUUCGGUUCCUGGGGUAGUAUGGUUGCAAAGCUGAAACUUAAAGAAAUUGACGGAAUGGCACCACCAGGAGUGGAGCCUGCGGCUUAAUUUGACUCAACACGGGAAAACUCACCCGGCCCGGACACCGUAAGGAUUGACAGAUUGAAAGCUCUUUCUCGAUUUGGUGGUUGGUGGUGCAUGGCCGUUCUUAGUUGGUGGAGCGAUUUGUCUGGUUUAUUCCGAUAACGAGCGAGACUCUAGCCUGCUAAAUAGUGGCUGGAUUUUUACGUCCAGUCUACUUCUUAGAGGGAUAAGCGGUGUUUAGCCGCACGAGAUUGAGCGAUAACAGGUCUGUGAUGCCCUUAGAUGUCCGGGGCUGCACGCGCGCUACAAUGGAAGAAUCAGCUGGCCUAUCCAUUGCCGAAAGGCAUUGGUAAACCGUUGAAACUCUUCCGUGACCGGGAUAGGGAAUUGUAAUUAUUUCCCUUGAACGAGGAAUUCCUAGUAAGUGUGAGUCAUCAGCUCACGCUGAUUACGUCCCUGCCAUUUGUACACACCGCCCGUCGCUGUCCGGGACUGANCUGUCUCGAGAGGACUGCGGACUGCUGUCGCGAGGCCUUCGGGUCGCGUUAUGGCGGGAAACAGUUCAAUCGCAAUGGCUUGAACCGGGUAAAAGUCGUAACAAGGUAUCUGUAGGUGAACCUGCAGAUGGAUCAUC
Molecule: ribosomal RNA, 785 nt
Filed under: Necator sp. HH-2015
Lineage: Eukaryota; Metazoa; Nematoda; Chromadorea; Rhabditida; Ancylostomatidae
Description: SSU rRNA
Rfam family: Eukaryotic small subunit ribosomal RNA
Source: RNAcentral